AGGACGAACGCUGGCGGCGUGCUUAACACAUGCAAGUCGAGCGGUAAGGCCUUUCGGGGUACACGAGCGGCGAACGGGUGAGUAACACGUGGGUGAUCUGCCCUGCACUUCGGGAUAAGCCUGGGAAACUGGGUCUAAUACCGGAUAUGACUUCAGGUUGUAUGACUUGGGGUGGAAAGAUUUAUCGGUGCAGGAUGGGCCCGCGGCCUAUCAGCUUGUUGGUGGGGUAAUGGCCUACCAAGGCGACGACGGGUAGCCGACCUGAGAGGGUGACCGGCCACACUGGGACUGAGACACGGCCCAGACUCCUACGGAGGCAGCAGUGGGGAAUAUUGCACAAUGGGCGAAAGCCUGAUGCAGCGACGCCGCGUGAGGGAUGAAGGCCUUCGGUUGUAAACCGUACUUUCAGCAGGACGAAGCGCAAGUGACGGUACUCGCAGAAGAAGCAACCGGCUAAACUACGUCGCCAGCAGCCGAC
Molecule: ribosomal RNA, 478 nt
Filed under: uncultured soil bacterium
Lineage: Bacteria
Description: bacterial SSU rRNA
Rfam family: Bacterial small subunit ribosomal RNA
Source: RNAcentral